This 465-nucleotide ribosomal RNA is filed under the name Vreelandella stevensii. RNAcentral describes it as "partial 16S ribosomal RNA". It matches the Rfam family "Bacterial small subunit ribosomal RNA", at positions 338 to 795 of the family's 1533-position model. The record is from RNAcentral. Lineage: Bacteria; Pseudomonadati; Pseudomonadota; Gammaproteobacteria; Oceanospirillales; Halomonadaceae.
CCUACGGGGUGCAGCAGUGGGGAAUAUUGGACAAUGGGCGAAAGCCUGAUCCAGCCAUGCCGCGUGUGUGAAGAAGGCCUUCGGGUUGUAAAGCACUUUCAGUGGGGAAGAAAGCCUUGGGGCUAAUACCCUCGAGGAAGGACAUCACCCACAGAAGAAGCACCGGCUAACUCCGUGCCAGCAGCCGCGGUAAUACGGAGGGUGCGAGCGUUAAUCGGAAUUACUGGGCGUAAAGCGCGCGUAGGCGGUCUGAUAAGCCGGUUGUGAAAGCCCCGGGCUCAACCUGGGAACGGCAUCCGGAACUGUCAGGCUAGAGUGCAGGAGAGGAAGGUAGAAUUCCCGGUGUAGCGGUGAAAUGCGUAGAGAUCGGGAGGAAUACCAGUGGCGAAGGCGGCCUUCUGGACUAACACUGACGCUGAGGUGCGAAAGCGUGGGUAGCAAACAGGAUUAGAUACCCGUGUAGUC